CCAGAGGGAAGGCUGUGUGUCCAGCGCCAGCAGGCACAGCGUGGGGACACAUAGGUGUUCAGGCCAUCUGAACGUCCUUGUGACCAGCUCCCCUUUCCUGCUAUCAGCCACCUUCACAGGAUGCCGGCCACAGUGGGCAUGGAAAUGACCCACGGCCUCAGCUCAGGAGCAGGGGCCCCUCACGGGAGGACCGCCAUGCCACCCCCUCAUGCUGUUUCCACCCUGAGGACCCUGACUCUGCCAGCGUCUGGAGGAGAGAGAGAUACCACCAUUUCUGUGAAAAGGGCCUGUGGGUUUUAAUUGACCGCAAGCUCAGAGUGAGCCAACGGGUGACCUGAUUGCUAAAAUAGCCCAGGAGGAGGGCGGAAGCUUCCAGAACAGGGAGGGGGUGGCUAAGAUCUCAGCUGGAAGGAAGUGAGGGCACCAUUCUUGGAACCUGCCCAAAUCUAUAGCUCCAGAGAGCAGGGAGGCCCUUCUCUGGAAACUCUGCCUUAGUCCAGCCCCCAUGGGUGACCUUGGGGCGGGACAGGAGGGGCGGCACCAGAGGCAAAGCUGAGUGGCUCGUGGAGCACAGUAACCCCGGGGGUGAGCGCCGGCCAGCACCCCUGGGCCCUCGCCCCACAGGCUAGUUAGAAGGGCCCAGGGAGGCCAGGUGGGUCGGGCGCUCCAGUCCCGUGUGGGGAGGCCGAGAGCCCGCCUGAGCCCGGAAUGAGAGGGGGACAAAGGCCAGCUGUCCUCCAGCCUUCCUGCUGCACUCAGCGGCCCUGAAAGAAAUGCCAGGAACAAAGAGGACGACUUCUCUCACACAGCAGAUAAUGAACGCUCUGACUCGCAGCCCCCGAGAGCAGCAAAUCCCAGGGUCCCCGGCCAGGAAAUUUACAGCCUGCAUUGACCCUUGGGAGGGCCCCGGCAGGGCAGUGCCCCCUUGCUGGCUCCUCCGUGGCCAGAGCCGGCUGGGGCCUCUUGAAGGCAGAGUGAGUGUCCAGUUCCCCUGCAUCCACUCCAGGGUGGCUGAUUCAGGACCGAGCGUCCACUCCAAGCUGAGCAGAGCCAGCAAGCCCCCUGAGAAGGCUGCAUCCCCUGGAACAGAGAAGACCCUUCCUUCGAGCCCUGCCUCCACAGCGGUCAGGUCCCAGAGACCAAGGCUGGGGCUCUAUGCAAAGGGAGCGGGUGAGGGGUCUCAGCCCCGCUCUGGGGUGUUAGGGGCCCAGGAGAGAGCCCACAGCAUGUGGCUGAGCCAGCUGCCCUCUGUCUCCCCAAAGCAGGGUGGGGCCAGGGGUGCCACCACCUGGGGCGGGCUACCACCUGGGGCGGCAGCUGGAGGCUCAGCUCCCACCCCACCCUGCCCCCAGUCCAUCCUGUGGCUUCGGGCACAUCGGCUGCUCUGGGGCCUCAGUCCUGCCUACAGAAGGGUGCUGGGCCCCUCCUCUGAUGUGCACUAAGGACACGGAAGGACCAGUGCUGUAUCUGGUUCUGACCAGCCACCAAACUGUGCCGUGCCUCAGUUUCCCCAUAGUGUCUACCUCACAGGCUGUCCUGAGGAUUAAAUGAUUUACAAUGUUUAUUUAUUUAUUUUUUAAUUUUUUUUAAUGUUUUAUUUAUUUUUAAUACAGAGAGAGACAGAGCAUGAGAGGAGGAGGGGCAGAGAGAGAAGGAGACACAGAACCAGAAGCAGGCUCCAGGCUCUGAGCUGGCUGUCAGCACAGAGCCCGAUGCGGGGCUCGAACCCACGAAUGUGAGAUCCGACCUGAGCCCGAGUCGGAGGCCUAACCGACUGAGCCACCCAGGUGCCCCAUGAUUUACAAUGUUUAAUGCACUCAGAAUGGUGACCGGCAGAGGGAGGAAACAUUGGUUGUUUUUGCCAUUAUUUCCCCUCUUUUUACCGAUCAAUAUUUAUUGCCAGGUAUGAGGGACUCGGUGGGGAGAAAUAUGGCAAUCUCCCUGCCUUCCAGAGUUUUCCUUCUGGUGGGGGAGGUGGAUGAAAACAAGUAAAUAAAGGAAAAGUACAAUUUCAUCUGUACAAAGUCUGCAGUUUAAGUUAAUAGUAAUGUGCCAGCGGUAACAUCUUGGUUUUGACGGACGUACCACGGUCAAGGUGGGUGAUGCGGCCACGUGAAAAAAAUGGAUGAAAUGUGUACAGCAACCCUUUGUACUGUCUUUGCAGCUUUUCUGUGAAUCUAAAAUUAUUC
RNAcentral lists this long non-coding RNA (2189 nucleotides) under Suricata suricatta (meerkat). RNAcentral's name for it is "lncRNA (ENSSSUG00005018199.1)". Lineage: Eukaryota; Metazoa; Chordata; Mammalia; Carnivora; Herpestidae. The record is from RNAcentral.